Coturnix japonica (Japanese quail) is the source of this 2894-nucleotide non-coding RNA. The record is from RefSeq and is a predicted model, not a curated record. Lineage: Eukaryota; Metazoa; Chordata; Aves; Galliformes; Phasianidae.
CCCCGGGCACGGCGGUGGCGGCUGUGGCCGGGCUCAGCUCUAGGGGCCGGGCCGGUGCUCCCGCGGCGCUGCCCAGCUCGGCGCCCGCGGACAAUGGCAGCCGCCCGCGCUCCGGAGGGUGAAGGAGGGGAGAGGAAAAAAAGUCCUUCGUCCUCAGCGGGAGAGACUUUAAGUGCGGCCCCUUCUCUGCCCCAGGGUGAGUGUCAGUGGCCCAGGUUCAGCCAAGCGCGAGGGCAGCCUUACCGCAUCCCUCUGCCCCUGGAAAAGAGAAAAGAGAAAAGAAAACGCCGCGUGACACCGCUGCACAGAUGCACGGCAUCAGCUGUGCCUCGCACGACUGCGAGAUGAAGAUGCAGCCUAUUCCGUGUGUAGGGCCUGAAUAGGAGAGUUAAAGAUUGUUAAGGGCUGAAGGGUGACUGUUGACCAUUGCCCUUCAAGUCUGCGUGAAUGCCGUGGUGCAGAAAUCCCACCUUGGCAGAAGGGCUUUGUGUUUUUACAAGCUGCACUCACAGUGGUAACAAUUGUUAUUGCUGAGGGAUGUGCAGCCCGAAGUGCUUGGUGGUCAUCCAGGGGUUACACAUUGUCACUGCUGGUGUGGUGAGCGCUGUUUGUCUGGUACUGCCUGACAAUAACCUUUGCACUUCAGAUGGUUACUUCUCUCCAUGCUGUGGCUCUGGUUUCUCAUACGCUUGUGUGACUCAAGACUGUUUUACUGUUUUCUUUUUCUUUCAUUGAGCAGUAAUAGCUCAGGUGUUCCUCAGAACAAAUCGAACUUAAACCUUCUACACCACUCUUUCCUCACUACCACAUUCAAGAAAGUCUUUCCAACCAAAUCAUUAAAAACUUCUUCUAUUCUGGAGAAAGAACUUGGGGAGGGUGGCCAUGGGCAGCAGCCAGGAGUCAGAAAGGCCACUCAGAAGUGCGGAGAAAUCCUAAUGUUACCUUGAAAUAACAUGGCAAAGGAGAGCAGCUUGUAUGUGGAAAAAACCCCGGGGCAAAGGGACGGAGCUUUUCCUCUGGUCUCAUUAGUUAUAUCUGUGCGAAUUUCUGUAGCAAAUAAACUAACAGCUAUACAGGCAAUAAUCUUAUUUACCUCGCGGUCAUGAUCCGUUCAUUUUCCCAUGCUAAAUGAGACAGUGGUCUGCUGGAAAAAAUAAGGCAACGUCUUUGAUAUUAUAACCAUAAGCAGACCAAUUUAGAAUUGCACAAGUAAUUCUAGUUCCAGUCUUUCUUACACAUGAAUGCUUGAUUUUUUUCCCAACCCCACACAUCCUUUAAUGUAACCGAAAGCAUUCAUUAAAUGAUUACCUGCACCCACCAGAGCAGCCCUUCACCUUGCUGGGUGCAAACACAAAGACAGCCCAUGUGUCACAAAGUUCAGGGCUUGGCACUGGCAGAGCCCCCACCCCGAUGCAGCAGCGUCCUUGUCACACUGUGUGAGAGAAGGGAUCUAACUGCACACAUAUGUUCAAGUCCUCUGAAAUUUGUUCCAAGCUGCUAAUUCAUCUGCAAAUUCAUGUUGUCAUCAAAGGCCGAUGAAGCCUGGUUGGAAGUAUCGUUGUGUGCACAGGCCAGGAAUUAUGUCAUUCCCGACUGCUACCCUUUAAAGCAAAAACAUCAUCUUCCAGAGGAAAACGGACCUGCUGAACACACUUCAGUGCUGGAUUUUGUUCAAGGUUCCAGCUUUUCUCUGAGCCUCCUCUAAUGUUUUGCCACCAGUGCAGUAUUAAAUUGAGUCGAUAUUGGUUUUGCAUCCCAAUAGAAGCUCUUCCAGUUAUAACCAAGAGCACUAUAUACUUUCUACCAUCUUCUAACAUCCAUCCUUCUCCAUCUUCAAGGCCAGGUUGGCUGGGGUCCUUGGCACCCUGAUCUCAUGCCUGAUCUAGUGGGUAGCAACUCUGCCUGCAGCAGGGAUUUGGAGCUGGAUGACCCUUGGCGUCCCUUCCAAGCUAAGCCGUUCUACGAUUCCACUAUUGGGUUAGGAGACGUGUCAAAGCCUUCUGAUUGAACCUCCAGCUCCAAGUAGGAUCAAUUGUGGAGUUACCCACAGACUUGCUGAGAGUGCCCUUCAACUCGUCACUGAGGUCACUGACAGAGGUGUUACUCAAUACCAUCAAGGGAAUCCUGGCCACCAACUGGAUCAGCUCAUUCUGAUCACAACCUUUGGGCCCAGUGGUCCAGCUGAUUCUCCCCAACUUACCUUCUGCUUACCUAGUUCAUACCCUAGCAAUGUGCUUAAUAGAGGCCUAGAGGUGAUUGUCUCAAAAGCGUUGGAAAAGUCAAAGUAAUUUAUAUGCAGUGCUCUCCUCAUCACCCUUCCCACUGCAUGAAGUUGUUGGGUUGGCAGGCAGAAUUUACAUUUUGUAAGCUGUUACUUCCUGUCCCCUGACACCUUCUUAAUCCUCCCACAGACUAAGGUCGGACUGGCUGGCCCCUUCUUUUGCAAAUCUAGCCCCUUGAAAACAGAGGCAACUUCUACCUUCUUCCAGUCACCAUGACCUUCCAAAAGUAUGCUGUGCUCCCCUGUUCUGCUAUGUAUGCCUUGUGGUUCCUACAGCUCCCCUUUGACCUCAUAUCCCAUCUCCAAACACUGUGAUUAUCGUCCUUCCAUUUACCCCUUCACCAACAUCUCCUCUCUCCAAGUAACGCUAACUUAAGUGGCACUAAAUGCUUUUAAAGAAUCCAGGAUCCAGCUCAACUUCUCCAAUGGGACUUUGGCUUCACUUGCAUUUCAUGCAUUGAUAGAUUGGCUUAAUUAAGAUGUUGCAGUGAAAAACAUAUCCUAGGCAAGUAGUGUGUAUGAAUUAGAACUAAAAGUAAGAUUGAUUGUUCUCUUAGAAAAAUUGAAGACAUCAACAAUUUUUUUCACCUCAAAUAAUAAACUUGUAAAUCCA